Molecule: ribosomal RNA, 139 nt
Filed under: uncultured bacterium
Lineage: Bacteria
Description: partial 16S ribosomal RNA
Rfam family: Bacterial small subunit ribosomal RNA
Source: RNAcentral
UGGGGAAUAUUGGGCAAUGGGCGCAAGCCUGACCCAGCAACGCCGCGUGAAGGAAGAAGGCUUUCGGUUGUAAACUUCUUUUGUCAGGGACGAAGCAAGUGACGGUACCUGACGAAUAAGCCACGGCUAACUACGUGCC